Molecule: non-coding RNA, 938 nt
Filed under: Bujurquina oenolaemus
Lineage: Eukaryota; Metazoa; Chordata; Actinopteri; Cichliformes; Cichlidae
Description: 12S ribosomal RNA
Rfam family: Bacterial small subunit ribosomal RNA
Source: RNAcentral
CAAAGGCUUGGUCCUGACUUUACUGUCAACUUUAGCUAAACUUACACAUGCAAGUCUCCGCAUCCCCGUGAGAAUCCCCACAGUACUCUGCCCGAGAACAAGGAGCUGGUAUCAGGCACAUACAUUUAUAGCCCAUAACACCUUGCUUAGCCACACCCUCAAGGGAAUUCAGCAGUGAUAGACAUUAAGCCAUAAGUGAAAACUUGACUUAGUUAAAGCCAAAAGGGCCGGUCAAACUCGUGCCAGCCACCGCGGUUAUACGAGAGGCCCAAGUUGACAGGUACCGGCGUAAAGAGUGGUUAGGAGUACAUAUAAACUAAAGCCGAACGUUUUCAAAGCUGUUAUACGCUUUCGAAAAUAAGAAGCCCUACUACGAAAGUGGCUUUAUUUCCCCCGACUCCACGAGAGCUGCGAAACAAACUGGGAUUAGAUACCCCACUAUGCCCAGCCCUAAACUUAGAUAGUGCAAUACACCAACUAUCCGCCAGGGGACUACAAGCAUAGCUUAAAACCCAAAGGACUUGGCGGUGCUUUAGACCCACCUAGAGGAGCCUGUUCUAUAACCGAUAAUCCCCGUUAAACCUCACCCUUCCUUGUUAUUUCCGCCUAUAUACCGCCGUCGUCAGCUUACCCUGUGAAGGUCUCAUAGUAAGCAAAAUUAGUAUAAACCCAAAACGCCAGGUCGAGGUGUAGUAGAUGGAAGGGGAAGAAAUGGGCUACAUUCCCUGUUACCCGGGAAUACGAACAAUGUAAUGAAAAGUACAUUAGAAGGAGGAUUUAGCAGUAAGCAUGAAAAUAGAGUGUUCUGCUGAAACUGGCCCUGAAGCGCGCACACACCGCCCGUCACCCUCCCUAACGCCAUAUAAACCAAUUAUAUUUACACAAAAGGAGGCAAGUCGUAACAUGGUAAGUGUAUCGGAAGAUGCACUUGGAAAAAU